This 818-nucleotide long non-coding RNA is filed under the name Salvia miltiorrhiza (redroot sage). RNAcentral's name for it is "long non-coding RNA (SMIL_LNC002327)". Lineage: Eukaryota; Viridiplantae; Streptophyta; Magnoliopsida; Lamiales; Lamiaceae. The record is from RNAcentral.
CAUCUGAAUCCCAUCUGAUCAUUAAAUACAAAAAAUGAGAUUUCAGUUUUAGAAAUCCAACCUACUAAAAUUAACAAAAAUCUCAAGACAUUUAUAAGAAAUACUCCUUUCGUCCCGCCGAGUUUGAGGCGUUUCUUUUGGAUACGAGAAUUAAGAAAUUGUUUAUUAGUGGUUUAAGUGUGUGGUAUAAAGGUAAUAAGAUGUGCAAUUAGUUUUAUAAAUUAGUGCUUUAAAUUGCCUAUUUUUUGUCAGAAAAAGAAAUGACUCAAACUCAACGGGACAGCUCGAAAAAGAAUACGAUUCAAGCUCGAUGGGAUGGAGGGAGUACCAGUUUAAUUUCAAGCAGUAAAACGUACCUGAAAGAUAGCGACUGCAAAAUUAAUCACCUUCUCUCUCCCCAUCGCUCCCUUUCCUCCCUCUCUCUCCAAAAUUAAUCACCUUCUUCGUCGGCCGAAGAAGGGAGGGCGGCAUCGAUUCUGGCUGCGAGGAGAAGAGAGGCCGAGAGGUGAGGGAGUGACACUGUGAAGAUUAGAGAGUGAGAGAAGGAGAGUGAUGGAGAGAAAAGAGAAGGGGAGAAAUUGGUUGGAGAUGGGCGUGGGUCGGCGGGUCGGGGCGCGGGUCAAUGGGCGGAUCGAUCCGUCUAAAUAUAUGCAUUUGGUCUGAUACACGAAUUUGUAAUUAUCUCCACUUUUCUCUAAUCAGAUUUCGACUGAAUAUUCACGUGAGAAGUACCUAUCGUCAACACCAACCACUACAAAAAGAAAGACUUCCAUAGAUUUGAUUGAGACAUAAUUUAAAGAUAUACUCACGUAUCUCCA